AAGGGCGAUGCUGAAAACCCUGCCUAAAAAGGCAAAAUAGAGUAGGCA
Saprospiraceae bacterium is the source of this 48-nucleotide non-coding RNA. Lineage: Bacteria; Pseudomonadati; Bacteroidota; Saprospiria; Saprospirales; Saprospiraceae. The record is from Rfam.